RNAcentral lists this ribosomal RNA (472 nucleotides) under uncultured bacterium. RNAcentral describes it as "bacterial SSU rRNA". It matches the Rfam family "Bacterial small subunit ribosomal RNA", at positions 28 to 492 of the family's 1533-position model. The record is from RNAcentral.
GAUGAACGCUGGCGGCGUGCUUAACACAUGCAAGUCGAACGAGACGAUUUAGAAGCUUGCUUUUAUUGAGUCGAGUGGCAAACGGGUGAGUAACGCGUAGACAACCUGCCGCAAAGAUGGGGACAACAGUCCGAAAGGACUGCUAAUACCGAAUGUUGUAUCUCCUCCGCAUGGAAGAGAUAUUAAAGAUGGGCCUCUACUUGGUAAGCUAUCGCUUUGCGAUGGGUCUGCGUCUGAUUAGCUAGUUGGUGAGGUAACGGCCCACCAAGACCGCGAUCGGUAGCCGGACUGAGAGGUUGAACGGCCACAUUGAGACUGAGACACGGCCCAGACUCCUACGGGAGCAGCAGUGGGGGAUAUUGCGCAAUGGGGGCAACCCGUGACGCAGCAACGCCGCGUGAAGGAUGAAGGUUUUCGGAUUGUAAACUUCUUUUAUUAAGGACGAAUAAUGACGGUACUUAAUGAAUAAGCU